GUUGACCUCGGAUCAAGUAGGACUACCCGCUGAACUUA
Molecule: ribosomal RNA, 38 nt
Filed under: Colletotrichum salicis
Lineage: Eukaryota; Fungi; Ascomycota; Sordariomycetes; Glomerellales; Glomerellaceae
Description: partial 28S ribosomal RNA
Source: RNAcentral